ACACGGGGGGCGCAAGCGUUAUUCGGAAUUAUUGGGCGUAAAGGGCGUGUGGGCGGUUUUAUCGGUCAGAUGUGAAAGCCCAGGGCUCAACCCUGGACGUGCAUUUGAAACAGUAAGACUUGAGUACGGUAGAGGAAAGCGGAAUUCCUGGUGUAGAGGUGAAAUUCGUAGAUAUCAGGAGGAACACCGAUGGCGAAGGCAGCUUUCUGGACCGAAACUGACGCUGAUGCGCGAAGGCGUGGGUAGCGAACAGGAUUAGAUACCCGAGUAGUCC
This 274-nucleotide ribosomal RNA is filed under the name uncultured bacterium. Its description in RNAcentral is "partial 16S ribosomal RNA". It matches the Rfam family "Bacterial small subunit ribosomal RNA", at positions 523 to 796 of the family's 1533-position model. The record is from RNAcentral.